This 497-nucleotide ribosomal RNA is filed under the name uncultured bacterium. RNAcentral describes it as "partial 16S ribosomal RNA". It matches the Rfam family "Bacterial small subunit ribosomal RNA", at positions 28 to 507 of the family's 1533-position model. The record is from RNAcentral.
GAUGAACGCUGGCGGCGUGCCUAAUACAUGCAAGUCGAGCGAACGGACGAGAAGCUUGCUUUUCUGAUGUUAGCGGCGGACGGGUGAGUAACACGUGGAUAACCUACCUAUAAGACUGGGAUAACUUCGGGAAACCGGAGCUAAUACCGGAUAAUAUUUUGAACCGCAUGGUUCAAAAGUGAAAGACGGUCUUGCUGUCACUUAUAGAUGGAUCCGCGCUGCAUUAGCUAGUUGGUAAGGUAACGGCUUACCAAGGCGACGAUGCAUAGCAGACCUGAGAGGGUGAUCGGCCACACUGGAACUGAGACACGGUCCAGACUCCUACGGGAGGCAGCAGUAGGGAAUCUUCCGCAAUGGGCGAAAGCCUGACGGAGCAACGCCGCGUGAGUGAUGAAGGUCUUCGGAUCGUAAAACUCUGUUAUUAGGGAAGAACAUAUGUGUAAGUAACUGUGCACAUCUUGACGGUACCUAAUCAGAAAGCCACGGCUAACUACGUG